CUGCAGCCAGUUAAGCUGAUUGUGCUCUUUCCCCAUGGGGGCCCAGUGCACAAUGGCUGCAAACAGGAACCUCCUUGGUAGUAUAUGCAGCCUGUUGCCCUAAGGAUUGCCCUAAGGAACCUUGGAGACAGCC
Molecule: small nucleolar RNA, 133 nt
Organism: Neogale vison (American mink)
Lineage: Eukaryota; Metazoa; Chordata; Mammalia; Carnivora; Mustelidae
Gene: SNORA70
Rfam family: Small nucleolar RNA SNORA70
About the family: snoRNA U70 seems to be exclusive to mammals and is a member of the H/ACA class of snoRNA which contain H (ANANNA) and ACA box motifs. H/ACA box snoRNAs are involved in the conversion of uridines to pseudouridines (5-ribosyluracil) a constituent of structural RNAs (transfer, ribosomal, small nuclear, and small nucleolar).
Source: Ensembl